Molecule: long non-coding RNA, 1058 nt
Organism: Lonchura striata (white-rumped munia)
Lineage: Eukaryota; Metazoa; Chordata; Aves; Passeriformes; Estrildidae
Source: RefSeq, a predicted model, not a curated record
CAGGUGUUUCUGUUACCAGAUCAAUGAUACAUGUUCAUAAAUUGCUACAGAGAACUGAGAGAAUUUAGUCUUCUUUUACUGAAAGAAUCCUUCUGGGAAAGGUGACCUGAUUCCACUGCUCAGAUACAGCUGCUGCUGCAUGAGCUCCCAGGGAGGAGGGUAAAGGCGUGUGGCAAUCCUGCCUGUCACAGCACUGCAGAACUCUAGAAUGGAAUGGAUCUCUGCAGAUCAUCUAGUCUGACAGCCUGGCAAGGCAAGAUAACCUGGAGCAGGCGACACAGGAACAUGUCCAGAGUCCCUCUCCUUGGACACACUCAGAACCUGACUACCAUGGUCCAGAGCAACCCGCUGUAGUGAUCCCAGCCUUGAGGAGGACCUUGGGCUAGAUGAUCUCCAGAGGUCCCUGCCAAAUUCAGCCAUUCUGGGACUCAGGGUGCUGUGGAAUACUUUUGAAAUCCAACCUGGGAUUAACCAUAGUUAAUUUUUUUCUGUAUGUAUGCCACUAUUUUUUUUCACUUUUCUUUCCUUCUGCAAGUGGGAGCAGCACCUCCCACUGGAAGUGCGGAUGAAAUGAAUUUUAGGGAUACAGAAUGGAUUUCUGGUCACUAAUGGAAAAUCUUCUGGGAGGAGGACAGAACAAGUGUGAUUCUGCAGAUCAAUGUUUCUGAUGUAAUGAAUCUAUGCACAACAGGUUUGUAACAAGGUCAAAGUCAUUCAUCCAAUGUGUUUGGGAUUAAAACACAGAAAAGAGAUGUGACUCAGAGUGAUGUUCAGACUCAUGGAUCCCUCACACAGAAGACAUCUCCAGACUCUUCACUCCUCCUUCCUGUUGCAGUGCUUUCUUAAGCACUUCCCAAACAUCUCUUAUGCUGAUUCCUUAAGCUAUUUCAAUAUUUAAUCUGAACCAGCCUUUUCUUUCUUCACACCCUCCUUUCUUCUUCCUCUGUCUAAAUCUCUUGCUCAAGAUCUUAUACCAAAUAAAUGAUGAAAGGUAAAAACAAACAAACAAACAAACAAACAAACAAAAAAAAACCAAAAAAACCCAAAAAAACCCAAAA